UAUAUAGUUGUUGUUUCACUCCACAUACCUUAGUUUUGUGCAUCCCGUUGACAUGUCCGUUGAUAUUGUUGAGUGACCCGCUGCUGCUUCCGUUGAUGGGGUUGGUCCACACCUCGGAGGAGGAGCUGGUGAGUGUGACGUCAUCAGACGAGUAGUUAGGGCGCGAGGGGAUGAUCGGAGACCGGCAACAGACCCUGGCAUUGCAAUCACCACUACACCACUACUCCACUACUAAUUGAAAUUCAAUUAUCCAAUUGAGAAGAUCUGAGAGACUGAGUAAUACAGCGAUAAAGAAAUGAAUUCAAACAACUGACAGUUUGUCGGAUCAUAAUAUGAAAUAUUAUUCCAGAAGUCUUGAAAGUUGGGAGAAUGAGCCGAUUCAAUCAGGAUAGUCUCAUCAUUGGAGAGGAGGUUUCUUGGAGUCCAGAACGCUAUAUGGGCUAAGCAGCUGGGAAAAUGGAAUUGGACCACGUUUGGAUCGUUCCGUCCCAUUUCUUUCGGAUUGAGAGGACGCACCCUAAGAACAAAAUGAAUGUCAAAGGAAAUAGUGGGCCACCAUCUCUCUUUGCAAUGAAUGAAAUUACCGAAACGUAUGUCAGAGACUCUGAAUGUCUUGAAGAGGAGACGAAACAAACGGAUUAUACUGAUUCGACUGGAGUAGGAUAGCAGAUCAGAUAGCCUUCUUUCGGUGGCUUAAUGGUGAGUAAAUGGCAAAUAUU
This is a long non-coding RNA of Nilaparvata lugens (brown planthopper), 719 nucleotides long. RefSeq lists it as uncharacterized. The transcript is spliced from 5 exons. The record is from RefSeq and is a predicted model, not a curated record. NCBI's taxonomy places the organism in Eukaryota, Metazoa, Arthropoda, Insecta, Hemiptera, Delphacidae.